UCUCCCUCUCUUUCUCUCUCCAUCUCUCUGCAUCUCUGUUUAUUGGAAAGCUCUUGUGCUGCCACUGUGCGGUCCUGCUUCAUCAUGUGUAUAGUGUUUCGGAGCAGAUGGGGAAGCAAAGGAAGGGGCAGAGAUGAGAAAGGAGGAGGAGUGUGGUAGGCAACUAGAGAUGGAGAUGCUCUCCACGUGAAGAGAAGUGGACUGUGGGAUAUUUCUUUAAAGGCUGAACUGGUGGUCUGCUCCUUCUGGAUGUCCCUUGCUGUUCUUUGACAUAAACACAAAGCCUCACUGUGCGAGAGAUGUUUGCACCCACAGCUGCAGCAGUGCGUCAGACACAGUCCUCAUCAGCAGAAAGCAGACGCUGACUGCCUUCACUGAAAUCUACUGGAGUCUCUUAAUUAAUGCUAAUUUCUGAUGACUUGCUGAUCUCAUCAUAAAGGAUCUACAAAGAUAAACAGAGCCAGCUUUCACUUCUGUUGGGGAACAUGUGGGCAAAUUCUCUCUGCUCCUCAUAAGUCUGUUCUAACUGAACGAGCUCAGCAUGAGCAAUUAUAAUCGAUUUUAUAUCUGUAUAAAGAUUAAAUAUCAGUGCUUUAAUCUGUGAUCCAUCCAUACCAUCUCAUUGGAUCCAUCUAAAUGUGGGACAGUAGGAAUGGUUUCAGUCCAUCUGUUGCAAUGAGCAUAUUUAAUCCUGCAGAUUUAAUUCCUUGCAACCUAUUCUCUGCAGCUCAGUGUUCAUAAUGGAAGCUGUAGAGAACUCCACAGGACUGUCCACAGCCGCCUUGGUGGCCAUUGCCUGCAACACAGUUGUUGCCGUCCUCCUCCUUCUGCUCUGCCUGGUUGUUUACCGAGCCUGCGGCGUCCCUUCAAACCCAGAGAGGCUGCCUGUGUUGGUGCAGAGCGAAGCAGAAACCCAGCAGAUGAACGAGCACAAGUACCUGUUGACCUCUUGACUGCAGUACGAUGAGUCAAAUGCAGCCACAAGUGAGGGAGCCCAUUCCUGCCUCUACAGAAGCGCUGCAUGUGUGAAAAAGAAAACACAAACCAUGCUUCGUGGUACUUUAACCCAGCUGUCCUUUAACAAAGCUCAUCCUUCGUGUGACAAAGCACGCCGCAGAAUAACAAGGUGACUACAAAUGGCUGCAAAACAGAAUUGCCACGGCAACAAGGAGGGGUAGUAGAGGUGGGGAGAAUGGUAAGUUCUCCAAGUAUCAUUUCGAAUCAAUCUCAUGACAUGGCUGGAAAAACCCAAAGGCUCGUCUCUGGUGAAUAACUGGACCUUAGGGUUUAUGUGGAGAUCCUACUCGCUAACUCAUCCAAACAAACCCUGCUAAAGUCUGUCUGAAAAUAUGUGCUCUCUUCAACGUGUCUCUCACUUUGACAUCUGUGACGGUGGGCCAAUCAUCCUGGGCUGAGUCACAGAACGAAUGACUGUAGGAGACCACUGGGACUCUACCUGCACUGCACCAAAUAUAUUUAUCCUCAUACAUGUAAACAGUAGAUCUGAUCCUGUAACUUUCCAUUUAACAGCAUGUAGCACCGUUUAAACGCUAUUCUAUGUAACUCACAGUUAACACUACUACUGAGGUUUUCCCCCCUGAGAUUAAAGCUGCACCUAUUGAAGUAAAAGUG
Molecule: long non-coding RNA, 1632 nt
Organism: Cyprinodon variegatus (sheepshead minnow)
Lineage: Eukaryota; Metazoa; Chordata; Actinopteri; Cyprinodontiformes; Cyprinodontidae
Exons: 3
Source: RefSeq, a predicted model, not a curated record